GAUGAACGCUGGCGGCGUGCCUAAUACAUGCAAGUCGAGCGAACAGACGAGGAGCUUGCUCCUCUGACGUUAGCGGCGGACGGGUGAGUAACACGUGGAUAACCUACCUAUAAGACUGGGAUAACUUCGGGAAACCGGAGCUAAUACCGGAUAAUAUAUUGAACCGCAUGGUUCAAUAGUGAAAGACGGUUUUGCUGUCACUUAUAGAUGGAUCCGCGCCGCAUUAGCUAGUUGGUAAGGUAACGGCUUACCAAGGCAACGAUGCGUAGCCGACCUGAGAGGGUGAUCGGCCACACUGGAACUGAGACACGGUCCAGACUCCUACGGGAGGCAGCAGUAGGGAAUAUUCCGCAAUGGGCGAAAGCCUGACGGAGCAAAGCCGCGUGAGUGAUGAAGGUCUUCGGAUAGUAAAACUCUGUUAUUAGGGAAGAACAAAUGUGUAAGUAACUAUGCACGUCUUGAAGGUACCUAAUCAGAAAGCCAAGGCUAACUAAGUG
RNAcentral lists this ribosomal RNA (497 nucleotides) under uncultured bacterium. Its description in RNAcentral is "partial 16S ribosomal RNA". It matches the Rfam family "Bacterial small subunit ribosomal RNA", at positions 28 to 507 of the family's 1533-position model. The record is from RNAcentral.